UAACACGUGGGUAACCUGCCUGUAAGACUGGGAUAACUCCGGGAAACCGGAGCUAAUACCGGAUAGUUCCUUGAACCGCAUGGUUCAAGGAUGAAAGACGGUUUCGGCUGUCACUUACAGAUGGACCCGCGGCGCAUUAGCUAGUUGGUGAGGUAACGGCUCACCAAGGCGACGAUGCGUAGCCGACCUGAGAGGGUGAUCGGCCACACUGGGACUGAGACACGGCCCAGACUCCUACGGGAGGCAGCAGUAGGGAAUCUUCCGCAAUGGACGAAAGUCUGACGGAGCAACGCCGCGUGAGUGAUGAAGGUUUUCGGAUCGUAAAGCUCUGUUGUUAGGGAAGAACAAGUGCAAGAGUAACUGCUUGCACCUUGACGGUACCUAACCAGAAAGCCACGGCUAACUACGUGCCAGCAGCCGCGGUAAUACGUAGGUGGCAAGCGUUGUCCGGAAUUAUUGGGCGUAAAGGGCUCGCAGGCGGUUUCUUAAGUCUGAUGUGAAAGCCCCCGGCUCAACCGGGGAGGGUCAUUGGAAACUGGGAAACUUGAGUGCAGAAGAGGAGAGUGGAAUUCCACGUGUAGCGGUGAAAU
This 590-nucleotide ribosomal RNA is filed under the name Bacillus pumilus. RNAcentral's name for it is "bacterial SSU rRNA". It matches the Rfam family "Bacterial small subunit ribosomal RNA", at positions 111 to 687 of the family's 1533-position model. Lineage: Bacteria; Bacillati; Bacillota; Bacilli; Caryophanales; Bacillaceae. The record is from RNAcentral.